AUGGCAGCUCUCAGCCACCUGCUUGACAACAAGGCCCAGGGUGUUGGGUUCAUUGCCAUGGCCGACGCUCACAGGGGCAAGUGGUAUGCCGUGUUCAUCGGUAAGGUUCCAGGGGUUUAUAGUUCGUGGGAAGAAGCCAGUGCACAAGUGGCAUCGUAUAGCAACAGCAGCCAUAGAGGGUUCCAGACUAGGCAGGCAGCAGAACAAGCUUACUCCGACUGGCUGCGAAAGCAUGGAGGCAGCAGUGUUGAUAGUGGCAAGGUUGGAGGUAUCAAGGUGGAUCGUCAGUUUGGGCUGAAGCUGAAGAACUUCGUCAUCUUUGCCCAGUUCAUCGCCAUUGCUGUGCUAUGA
This 351-nucleotide ribosomal RNA is filed under the name Triticum aestivum (bread wheat). RNAcentral describes it as "partial small subunit ribosomal RNA". The record is from RNAcentral. Lineage: Eukaryota; Viridiplantae; Streptophyta; Magnoliopsida; Poales; Poaceae.